This 455-nucleotide long non-coding RNA is filed under the name Marmota monax (woodchuck). The record is from RNAcentral. Lineage: Eukaryota; Metazoa; Chordata; Mammalia; Rodentia; Sciuridae.
CCGCGUCCGGCCAAGGGAGCCGAGUCCGGCGAGGGACGGCGAGGUUAAAAGACACACAGGACACCAAGGUUCUUCAUCCAGGAGUCAAUAAUAAUCUUUAUUGCUAACACACCUUUUUUUAUACCCCAAGCAGCAGAAGUGGAAAACUACCCAAAAGCAGGAGGGAUGGGGGAGAAAUUUAGUUUCAACAUCUAUUAUUGUCAGGUACCGAAACCUCCCUUAACAAUAAGUCCAUCAGACCAGAAAAGGUCAAGGCAUUCCCGUGGGAUACAUAUGUCUCAGACGGAUAAGCAGGAACAGGAAAACCGCAAGUUCGCCAUGGCCUUGUGAGCUGGCCACACUGGCAUGCAGAACAAACUAGUGGAGGUAGGGCUCCAGGGGCCAAGGUGGACCUGUUGCCAACAAGUCCCCCUCUUUUGUUUUUUGCAUGCCAGUGGGAAUCAAGUAGCCCCCUG